UUUUAUGUGCCACUUUGUGAUAUUGAUUUUAUUUCAUUAUUUGAUUUGUUUAAGAACUAUAAAAGAGAACUAUCAAAUUGUGAAAAAGGGGGACUUGUACAGUAAAACUACAAAUACUAGAAAAAAUCCAAGAAAAAAGUUCUACUCUGACUCUUCUCCAACUCCACCUACACGAAAAAAAUAAUAACUCAUCACACAAC
Molecule: long non-coding RNA, 200 nt
Filed under: Lathyrus oleraceus (garden pea)
Lineage: Eukaryota; Viridiplantae; Streptophyta; Magnoliopsida; Fabales; Fabaceae
Description: Pisum sativum (pea) long non-coding RNA (PSAT_LNC020842)
Source: RNAcentral